Non-coding RNA from Triticum urartu, 115 nucleotides. Lineage: Eukaryota; Viridiplantae; Streptophyta; Magnoliopsida; Poales; Poaceae. The record is from Rfam.
CAUCUACUCCCUCCGUUCUGAAUUAUUUGUCGUAGGUAUGGAUAUAUCUACGUGUAUUUUAGUUAUAGAUACAUCCAUUUCUACGACGAGUAAUUUAGAAAGGAGGGAGUACUUG